This 2650-nucleotide long non-coding RNA is filed under the name Selaginella moellendorffii. Its description in RNAcentral is "long non-coding RNA (SMOE_LNC001715)". The record is from RNAcentral. Lineage: Eukaryota; Viridiplantae; Streptophyta; Lycopodiopsida; Selaginellales; Selaginellaceae.
GGAUGCUUACCCUUGAUUGUAGCGGCCAGCACGAGCCUCCACCGAUGCCACGCUCGUCCGUGGAGUGCUGAAUCGGCUCAGGUUCGCCAAGAAUCAUCCGGCGAGGAUCAGGUGGAUCAUGAACAGAAAGUCCUGUUCGAAUGUAAUUCUUCUCCUUGCGAAUCACAUCGCAGAAGGUUGCUUGGCAUUGAGCAGGCCAUUGUAGAGAAGGUAGCCGGACAGUUUGUCAUACUCUGACAGCAUGCAAAACUGUGUUCAAGCUCUAUACGUACGAGCGAGCGACAACAAGAAUGAAAAACCUUUGAGGUUCUGUCAACAACACGAAAUUUCAAAGAACAUUGUUCUUUUAUAUAUAUAUAUAUUUCUCACUUCUAUUUUUUUUGUCAUAAUACUUGAGAGCACAAAUUCGUAGAACAUAGCCUCAUGCCAUUCUGACAAACUGAAGAUGCCCCUUACCAUUCAGUUCCCCGCUGAGGAACGCUUCAAGGAGCUCUGCCAUAGAGAUCUCCUUGUACAAACGUGGCAUUUCUUCCGAGGUAAUUGGCUUUAACUUCCUGUCGCGGCCAGGACCGUAAAAUGUUGCAAUGGAGAUCCGAGAGUAUUCCUUAUUAACGACAGCUCUGUGCUCCACGCUCUUGUAAGCUCCAUCCGUUAGUAUCUGGGACGCGACAAACACCAAUUUGUCAAUUCUUGCACCAUAGGUUUAAGUUUUAACUAUGAACCAAAGCUGAAAAUCUUGCACACACCUCAAUCGUGUCUCCAACAUUCACCACCAACGCGUCUGGGAUGAACCUGACGCUCCUCCACUGCCCGUUUUUCAUAACCUGCAGGCCUUCCACCUCAUCUUGGAGCAAAACGGUAAGACCCACGACAUCAGAGUGAGGGCUGAGUCCAAUCACAAGCUCUGGCUGUGGACAAGGCGGAUAAUAGUUCAGCCUGAUCGCAUAAUGAGGACUGGGACCGAAAGCUUCAGAGAAGAAACUAGCACGUUGCCCCAAUGCCUCUGCCAUGCAUUGUAGCAGUUUGAUUGCCAGAGGCCGUAUCUCCUGGCCGUACUCUUCCACGACUUUCCUAUAGAGUGGAAUUCAGAACGACGCUGAAAGUUCUCAAGAAUGUUACCUGUACUCUGGAGGAUUGCUUGGCCAAUUUCUUAUGGGAGGAAGAAAAUGAUAAACAGAAUCGCCCCAGUCGAGCACAGUCUCCUCCGAAGGAACGAAGAAUCUUCCGUAUCCUUCCUGGCUGGCUAGAGAUGGUGCAUCAGAGCGAAUAGCAUAUGCUUCCCUCUGCUCCCGGGGCAACCGGAAAAAGUCCCUCACAGUCUUCCUCACCUGUUUAAGCAACUCCGGAGGGAUGCCAUGUCCAAUCAGCUGAACCAGAUGUUAGUCAUGGAUUUUUGAGCAGAUCUCACCUGGAAAAAUCCCCAAUCUCGGCAAGCGCUGUCGAGCUUAGCGAUGCCUUCAGCUGUGUCAAGCUCUGCUACGUGAAUAACUGGAACCUCACCAUCUUCCGUCCUUGCUGCAGAGAAUGACCGCUCUUCCGCUGGCUUCACAAAUCGCUGAGGCACUUCAUCAAUGCCAGACUCAACCAAAUCCUGAACCAUGGGAAGCCCCCCAUCCUUUGGAUCAAGCCCCAUUUUACCAAUUCUCCUGCUUCUCCUGCUUAUCCUUCAUACAAGCCGCCUUUGCCAUUGCAAAGAAGCUUCCUUGCGAAGAAUUUUUGUACCAGUUUGGACACAUGUUUCCAGAAACAAGACUUAAAGGUGCUGAGCUUGUAUAAAGCUAAAAGAGCUUUAAUGCAAGUUGAUCAAGAGAGUUCCAUGGGAGGACAUCUUAAAGGUCAAGGAUUCUCCUAUUGCUUUUGAGGCAUGGCACACAUUGCAGCACUACUACUGUGGAAAAUGGAGAUGAACAUCUUUCACUAAAUGGGUAAUUGUCCAUAAGGAAUAGAGGAGAAAGGGAUGAUGGUGUUGGGAGAUAAAGUUGUAGAAUAUGAAGUCAUCCUUUCCAAAUGUUACUGGGGUGCUGAUGAUUUCCAAGUUGAACGAAUGAUACUAGAAAGCAAAAGUAGAUUUGCAUAUUUCAUGCUUGAUAGUGCUGUAUAUUUGUGAUCAAUUGAUCCAAACUGGAACAUACACAAAUUAAUUUGUAAUAGAGUGUCUAAAUGUUUCAAUGAUAGUUUUUUUUUUACUAUGAGCAUUUCCCUUUAUGAUAUUGACUUACUAUCAAAUAAAUUUUCACCCUAGUUAAUAAUCAUAUUUGAUCAUAUAGUUUAUGAGAAAAUUCAUCUUUUGGGAGAAGAACAUUAAUGAAAAAGGCACCAAAGAUUAAAAGGAUGAAGAAGCAAUUGCAAUACAAAUGGCAAGAUGUUUAUUGUACAUGUGUCCAAAAAUGAUUUUGGACAUAAUAUUUCUGGUGCUGGAGUUGCAAAUUCUGCAGAUUGAGGAUGCUUACCCUUUAUUGUAGCGCCCAGCACGAGCCUCCACCAAUGCCACGCUCGUCCGUGGAGUGCUGAAUCGGCUCAGGUUCGCCAAGAAUCAUCCGGCGAGGAUCAGGUGGAUCAUGAACAGAAAGGUCAUCAAGGCCAAAAAAACUGUUCAUCCUUAUUCCACCUUAUGGAGAGACGCAAGAUUUAAAGGAUUAGAAACUCAUUU